RNAcentral lists this ribosomal RNA (434 nucleotides) under uncultured Lachnospiraceae bacterium. RNAcentral's name for it is "partial 16S ribosomal RNA". It matches the Rfam family "Bacterial small subunit ribosomal RNA", at positions 341 to 792 of the family's 1533-position model. Lineage: Bacteria; Bacillati; Bacillota; Clostridia; Lachnospirales; Lachnospiraceae. The record is from RNAcentral.
ACGGAAGGCAGCAGUGGGGAAUAUUGCACAAUGGGGGAAACCCUGAUGCAGCGACGCCGCGUGAGUGAAGAAGUAUUUCGGUAUGUAAAGCUCUAUCAGCAGGGAAGAAAUUGACGGUACCUGACUAAGAAGCCCCGGCUAACUACGUGCCAGCAGCCGCGGUAAUACGUAGGGGGCAAGCGUUAUCCGGAUUUACUGGGUGUAAAGGGAGCGUAGACGGUCGUGCAAGUCUGAAGUGAAAGCUUGCGGCUUAACCAUGGAACUGCUUUGGAAACUGUGCGACUAGAGUACCGGAGGGGUAAGCGGAAUUCCUAGUGUAGCGGUGAAAUGCGUAGAUAUUAGGAAGAACACCGGUGGCGAAGGCGGCUUACUGGACGGUAACUGACGUUGAGGCUCGAAAGCGUGGGGAGCAAACAGGAUUAGAUACCCUGGUA